This is a non-coding RNA of Calocera viscosa, 93 nucleotides long. The record is from Rfam. NCBI's taxonomy places the organism in Eukaryota, Fungi, Basidiomycota, Dacrymycetes, Dacrymycetales, Dacrymycetaceae.
GAUGGUUUGGGAGAGUGGUUAAUCCGCUGCCUUUAGGUGACCAAAUCGAUCGGCAGUGCCUUUGGCGCGCGAGUUCGAAUCUCGUAACCAUCA